RNAcentral lists this ribosomal RNA (429 nucleotides) under Gemmatimonadota bacterium. RNAcentral describes it as "Gemmatimonadetes bacterium partial 16S ribosomal RNA". It matches the Rfam family "Bacterial small subunit ribosomal RNA", at positions 355 to 776 of the family's 1533-position model. The record is from RNAcentral. Lineage: Bacteria; Pseudomonadati; Gemmatimonadota.
UAGGGAAUCUUCGGCAAUGGACGAAAGUCUGACCGAGCAACGCCGCGUGAGUGAAGAAGGGUUUCGGAUCGUAAAACUCUGUUGUUAGAGAAGAACAAGGACGUUAGUAACUGAACGUCCCCUGACGGUAUCUAACCAGAAAGCCACGGCUAACUACGUGCCAGCAGCCGCGGUAAUACGUAGGUGGCAAGCGUUUUCCGGAUUUAUUGGGCGUAAAGCGAGCGCAGGCGGUUUCUUAAGUCUGAUGUGAAAGCCCCCGGCUCAACCGGGGAGGGUCAUUGGAAACUGUGAGACUUGAGUGCAGAAGAGGAGAGUGGAAUUCCAUGUGUAGCGGUGAAAUGCGUAGAUAUAUGGAGGAACACCAGUGGCGAAGUCGGUUCUCUGGUCUGUACCUGACGCUGAGGCUCGAAAGCGUGGGGAGCAAACAGG